GUACUAUAUAAAGUUUGGCAUUUAAAUUGAAGUUGGUCACAUUGGUAUAUAUGCAGUUGCUGCUAUGUUUAUUGUACAUACAGGCUUUGGGGGUAUUAGUCGAGGAAAAAGAAACGAUGAGAAAGAGGAACAAUGUUAAAUGUCAUGUAUUUAUAUGUUGUUUCAAUAGAAGAAAUAUGUACAAUAAAGUAAAAUAAGAGAAAAUAAGAUGUUACUGCGAGCAACUAAUCCUAUAUCUGUGUUUGUCUUGUUUAUAGCCUAUUGAAUUAAGAGAUAAAAUACUUUAAAUUCGGACGAGCAGGGCGAGGGAGAAUUUAAAUAAACUUAAACAUCAGUAUUAUUCUAAAUUUUCAUAAAUUUACUUAAACUUUAAAACACACAAUCACCUAUAUAUGUAUAUGUGUAUAUGCACGAACUACUGUAAAAGAUUAUUAUCUGAUGAAACGGUAUGGUGGUCUUGCAAAUCAAGAGCUUCUUCAAUAUACCGGUACAUACAAAU
This 499-nucleotide long non-coding RNA is filed under the name Mytilus galloprovincialis (Mediterranean mussel). Lineage: Eukaryota; Metazoa; Mollusca; Bivalvia; Mytilida; Mytilidae. The record is from RNAcentral.